This is a long non-coding RNA of Ochlerotatus camptorhynchus, 512 nucleotides long. RefSeq lists it as uncharacterized. The transcript has 2 exons. NCBI's taxonomy places the organism in Eukaryota, Metazoa, Arthropoda, Insecta, Diptera, Culicidae. The record is from RefSeq and is a predicted model, not a curated record.
UUAACUAAGUUUCAAUUGUUUGUAGCCUCAAUUCUAAUCAAUUCAAAGGGCCAAUUAUUAAAUAGACAUAAGUGCUUAUGUAAAAACAUGACUUAAAUCGUCAAUUUCUCACGACAGUUUUCUCGCCCACGCAACUAAAAACUGGACUCGGAAAAAAUGCGAUACUUUGUUUUGGGUGUAGCUUUUUAUCGCGUGGGUAAAAAUUAAUGAAAUUUUUGGGCGCCAAACCGGACUGACAAGCAAAACACGGUGGCCAAAUUGCGUGCGUGGAAGCUGUACCGUGAGUGGCUGGUCAAGCCAGGCUGUCUCGUCAUGGACGGCGAGACAUACAUCAAGGCGGACACCAAACAAAUCCCCGGCCUCGAGUUUUUUGUCGGUACGUCCCGCAUGGAGGUUCCGGAAAAGUUCCGGAAAGAAAGAUGGACAAAUUCGCGAAGAAGUACAUGUUGUGGCAGGCGAUCUGCGAGUGCGGACGGUACAGCAAGCCGUUCGUUACAACCGGCACCAUAAAC